This is a non-coding RNA of Stegodyphus mimosarum, 74 nucleotides long. The record is from Rfam. NCBI's taxonomy places the organism in Eukaryota, Metazoa, Arthropoda, Arachnida, Araneae, Eresidae.
GCCUUCGUGGUGUAGUGGUCAGCACGCUCGGCACUUAAUUCGAGAGGUUCGUGGUUCGAGUCCCGGUGAGGGCA